RNAcentral lists this transfer RNA (76 nucleotides) under Candidatus Bathyarchaeota archaeon. RNAcentral describes it as "tRNA-Gln". It matches the Rfam family "tRNA". From Rfam's summary of the family: Transfer RNA (tRNA) molecules are approximately 80 nucleotides in length. Their secondary structure includes four short double-helical elements and three loops (D, anti-codon, and T loops). RNAcentral also lists the same sequence under 4 other names. Lineage: Archaea; Thermoproteati; Candidatus Bathyarchaeota. The record is from RNAcentral.
AGCCCGGUGGUGUAGCGGUCAAGCAUGGAGGCCUCUGGAGCCUCUGACGAGAGUUCGAAUCUCUCCCGGGCUACCA